CCUACGGGUGGCAGCAGUGAGGAAUAUUGGUCAAUGGGCGCGAGCCUGAACCAGUCAAGUCGCGUGAGGGAGGACGGCCCUACGGGUUGUAAACCUCUUUUGCCGGGGAGCAACGGGCGUCACGUGUGGCGUCACUGAGAGUACCCGGAGAAAAAGCAUCGGCUAACUCCGUGCCAGCAGCCGCGGUAAUACGGAGGAUGCGAGCGUUAUCCGGAUUUAUUGGGUUUAAAGGGUGCGCAGGCGGAAGAUCAAGUCAGCGGUAAAAUUGAGAGGCUCAACCUCUUCGAGCCGUUGAAACUGGUUUUCUUGAGUGAGCGAGAAGUAUGCGGAAGGCGGGGUGUAGCGGUGAAAUGCAUAGAUAUCACGCAGAACUCCGAUGGCGAAGGCAGCAUACCGGCGCUCAACUGACGCUCAUGCACGAAAGUGUGGGUAUCGAACAGGAUUAGAUACCCUAGUAGUC
This 460-nucleotide ribosomal RNA is filed under the name uncultured bacterium. Its description in RNAcentral is "partial 16S ribosomal RNA". It matches the Rfam family "Bacterial small subunit ribosomal RNA", at positions 338 to 795 of the family's 1533-position model. The record is from RNAcentral.